AUACGGAGGGUGCAAGCGUUAUCCGGAUUUAUUGGGUUUAAAGGGUGCGCAGGCGGAUAAUUAAGUCAGUGGUGAAAUCCUCCCGCUCAACGGGAGAACUGCCAUUGAUACUGAUAAUCUGGAAUACGGUUGAAGUGGGCGGAAUGUAGCAUGUAGCGGUGAAAUGCAUAGAGAUGCUACAGAACACCGAUCGCGAAGGCAGCUCACUAAGCCGAUAUUGACGCUCAGGCACGAAAGCAUGGGUAGCGAACAGGAUUAGAAACCCUAGUAGUCC
This 274-nucleotide ribosomal RNA is filed under the name uncultured bacterium. RNAcentral describes it as "partial 16S ribosomal RNA". It matches the Rfam family "Bacterial small subunit ribosomal RNA", at positions 523 to 796 of the family's 1533-position model. The record is from RNAcentral.